Syzygium oleosum is the source of this 270-nucleotide long non-coding RNA. RefSeq lists it as uncharacterized. The record is from RefSeq and is a predicted model, not a curated record. Lineage: Eukaryota; Viridiplantae; Streptophyta; Magnoliopsida; Myrtales; Myrtaceae. The transcript has 2 exons.
GCCGAGCACAGUGCGGGCAACUAGAUAAGUAGGGACCAGGAAGGGAAAACCCGGGACCGACAAGAAAGAAAAGAAAGGAGCUGCGGUCUGAUCUGUGGACAAGGACAAAAGAGAGAGAGAGAGAGAGAGAGAGAGAGAGAGAUCUUUGCUUAUCGAGAUCAGAAGAGGGAGUGAUCGUUGAGGAGGAGAUGGGUGCUGGGGAUUCUGAACUUGAAGAACCUGUGGCCACGCUUUGGUAGCACCAUCUGUGGACGUGAGAGGAAUCGCCAA